UUUUGCUCACCUGGCCUAAAAGGCCAUGUGAGCUUUUCUCAUCACUUGGCGUCCGUCGUCGUCGUCGUCUGUCGUCGUUAACAAUUUUUCAAACAUCUUCUCCUCUGAAACUACUGAAUAGAUUUGAAUGAAACUUAAACUGAUUGUUCCUUAGAUUAUCCUGCACAAAGUGUGUGCUUCGAUUUUUGAUCCGUCAAAAAACAUGGCCCGCCGUUACUUAAAAUAGAACAUAGGGUCAAAUGCAGUUUUUUGGCUUAUAUCUCAAAAACGGAAGCAUUUAGAGCAAAUCUGACAUGGGGUUAAAAUGUUCAUUAGGUCAAGAUCUAUCAGUCCUGAAAUUUUCAGAUGAAUCAAACAAAACCAUUGUUGGGUUGCUGCCACUUAAUUGGUAAUUUUAAGGAAAUUUUGCAGUUUUUGGUCAUUAUCUUGAAUAUUAUUAUAGAUAAAGAUAAACUGUAAACAGCAAAAAAUGAAUCAGCAAAGUAAGAUCUACAAAUAAGUUAAUAUGACCAAAAUUGUCAAUUGACCCCUUAAGGGGUUAUUGUCCUUUAAUGACAAUUUUUCACAAUUUGUUCAUCACAUUUGCUAACUUUAAAAAAUCUUCUCCUCUGAAACUACUGAAUGGAUUUGGAUGAAACUUAGCAUGAUUGUUCCUUAGAUUAUCCUGCACAAAGUGUGUGCUUCGAUUUUUGAUCCGUCAAAAAACAUGGCCGCCGUUACUUGAAAUAGAACAUAGGGG
This 739-nucleotide long non-coding RNA is filed under the name Mytilus galloprovincialis (Mediterranean mussel). Lineage: Eukaryota; Metazoa; Mollusca; Bivalvia; Mytilida; Mytilidae. The record is from RNAcentral.